AGAUGGACGUAGUGUCCGUGACGUCACCCGUUGGUUUCUGUAGAGUGAAAAUGAGGCUCGUAGUGGGCGUUUCACCCGGCGCCAUCUUGCCGGGGCCUGACUCCUCCUAGUUCCGGGCUAACCCAUAAAUGGGCAAAAAGGCGGCGCGCGAGUGGACGCUAGGCGGGCCGAGUGAAGACUGACAACCGAGCCACGCCCACAGAGCUUAUCGUUACCUGGUUAGCUCAGGCUAAGGAGCUAGGCUAAAUGCUACCCGCGACUGCUAACCGGCUAGCGCUGCGGUGUUGUUGCUCCGGGAUGGUCGCGGUCGUAACAUCGAACCGAACAGAGUACAUCAGUUUGGCUGAAAUCUGUGGUGCUUCCACCUGCUGAACACAGAAUAAACUCACUGCAACACCUGAUGUCCUCAGAAUCCACUGUGGCAGCAGCAACAUGGUGGAGAUCGGCAGCUUCAGGCUGGUCAACAUGAUAAUAAUAUUGAGUCAAUUUCUAUAUCCAUUAUGGUUGGUAAAAUUAACACUAUCACAACAAUGUUCAUCUUUUACUUUCUGAUUUAAUAAACCUUAGAUAAAAAGUGUUGUCUUUUCUUUUUUGACAUAAGAGACAGAACACGGUCAGCACAGC
Molecule: non-coding RNA, 624 nt
Organism: Paralichthys olivaceus (Japanese flounder)
Lineage: Eukaryota; Metazoa; Chordata; Actinopteri; Pleuronectiformes; Paralichthyidae
Source: RefSeq, a predicted model, not a curated record